GACAGAGGCCUCAAGCGUUAGGCGGAAUCACUGGGCUUAAAGCGUGUGUAGGCGGGUCGUUAAGUGUCUUGUGAAAUCCCACCGCUCAACGGUGGAACCGCUGGGCAUACUGGCGAUCUUGAGCAGUCCAGGGGCGAGCGGAACAAGUGGUGGAGCGGUGAAAUGCGUAGAUAUCACUUGGAACGCCAAUGGUGAAAACAGCUCGCUGGGAAUGAUCUGACACUGAGACGCGAAAGCCAGGGGAGCGAACGGG
Molecule: ribosomal RNA, 253 nt
Filed under: uncultured bacterium
Lineage: Bacteria
Description: partial 16S ribosomal RNA
Rfam family: Bacterial small subunit ribosomal RNA
Source: RNAcentral